GAUGAACGCUGGCGGUAUGCAUAACACAUGCAAGUCGAACGGUCUGGAAACAGACAGUGGCGGACGGGUGAGUAACGCGUGAGAAUCUAACUUGUGGUUCGGGAUAACCACUGGAAACGGUGGCUAAGACCGGAUGUGCCGGGAGGUGAAAGGGAGACCGCCACAAGAGGAGCUCGCGUCCGAUUAGCUAGAUGGUGGGGUAAAGGCCUACCAUGGCGACGAUCGGUAGCUGGUCUGAGAGGACGACCAGCCACAGGAGCACUGAGACACGGGCUCC
This 277-nucleotide ribosomal RNA is filed under the name uncultured bacterium. Its description in RNAcentral is "partial 16S ribosomal RNA". It matches the Rfam family "Bacterial small subunit ribosomal RNA", at positions 28 to 334 of the family's 1533-position model. The record is from RNAcentral.